GACGAACGCUGGCGGCGUGCUUAACACAUGCAAGUCGAACGGAAAGGCCCUGCUUUUGUGCGGUGCUCGAGUGGCGAACGGGUGAGUAACACGUGAGUACCCUGCCCUUGACUUUGGGAUGUCUUCAGGAAACUGGGGCUAAUACCGGCUAGGAGCUCCUGCUGCAUGGUGGGGGUUGGUAAGUUUAGGCGGUUGGGGAUGGACUCGCGGCUUAUCAGCUUGUUGGUGGGGUAGUGGCUUACCAAGGCUUUGCGGCGUAGCCGGGCUGGGAGGAGGACAUGCCCAGCCGGGCUGGAGAUGAGGCACGGACCACUCUCGGAGGCAGCGGAGCAGAGGAGUAUACUAUGGGCGGGAGCCUGAUGCAGCAACGCCGCGUGGGGGAUGAGGGGCUGGGGGUAGGAUUGCAAUGCCGUCUUUGACGAAGUGUGAGUGACGGUAACGGGUGAAGAAGCACCGGCUAACUACGUG
Molecule: ribosomal RNA, 468 nt
Filed under: uncultured bacterium
Lineage: Bacteria
Description: partial 16S ribosomal RNA
Rfam family: Bacterial small subunit ribosomal RNA
Source: RNAcentral